This 255-nucleotide ribosomal RNA is filed under the name uncultured bacterium. RNAcentral's name for it is "partial 16S ribosomal RNA". It matches the Rfam family "Bacterial small subunit ribosomal RNA", at positions 1238 to 1500 of the family's 1533-position model. The record is from RNAcentral.
UACGAGAAGGCAGCUACACGGCGACGUGAUGCUAACUCCGAAAGCCUCUCUCAGUUCGGAUUGGAGUCUGCAACCCGACUCCAUGAAGCUGGAUUCGCUAGUAAUCGCGCAUCAGCCACGGCGCGGUGAAUACGUUCCCGGGCCUUGUACACACCGCCCGUCAAGCCAUGAAAGCCGGGGGUACCUGAAGUGCGUAACCGCAAGGAGCGCCCUAGGGUAAAACUGGUGAUUGGGGCUAAGUCGUAACAAGGUAAC